AGCAGCCGCGGUAAUUCCAGCUCCAAUAGCGUAUAUUAAAGUUGUUGCAGUUAAAAGCUCGUAGUUGAAUUUCGGGAUCAAUAUGUCGGUCGUGCCUUCGGUACGUACUGGUAUCAUUGGUCUCUCCUUUCUGACGAACCAUGAUGUCAUUAAUUUGGUGUUAUGGGGAGUUAGGACUGUUACUUUGAAAAAUUGAGUGUUUAAAGCAGGCUUUAGCUUGAAUACAUUAGCAUGGAAUAAUGAAAUAGGACGUUCGAACCUAUUUUGUUGGUUUCUAGGAUCAACGUAAUGAUUAAUAGGGAUAGUUGGGGGCAUUAGUAUUCAAUUGUCAGAGGUGAAAUUCUUGGAUUUAUUGAAGACUAACUACUGCGAAAGCAUUUGCCAAGGAUGUUUUCAUUAAUCAAGAACGAAAGUUAGGGAUCGAAGACGAUCAGAUACCGUCGUAGUCUUAACCAUAAACUAUGCCGACUAGGGAUCGGAUGAUGUUAAUUUUUAAUGACUCAUUCGGCGCCUUAAC
This 517-nucleotide unclassified non-coding RNA is filed under the name uncultured Glomus. Its description in RNAcentral is "SSU rRNA". It matches the Rfam family "Eukaryotic small subunit ribosomal RNA", at positions 569 to 1092 of the family's 1831-position model. Lineage: Eukaryota; Fungi; Glomeromycota; Glomeromycetes; Glomerales; Glomeraceae. The record is from RNAcentral.